Molecule: long non-coding RNA, 845 nt
Filed under: Fukomys damarensis (Damara mole-rat)
Lineage: Eukaryota; Metazoa; Chordata; Mammalia; Rodentia; Bathyergidae
Description: lncRNA (ENSFDAG00000032896.1)
Source: RNAcentral
CUGAAAUCUAUCUAGUUAUUCUUAGCAAAAAUGUCUCAUGUACAGAUCCUUAAAAAUUGAAACUAAAAAUCUGACAUCAGUUUUAAGUUGGCGUUGAAAGGGCUCCUUGCUCCUAACCAUUGGUUCCCUCAGGGAAAUUUCCCCAUGGCUUGCAUGGUGAUCAGCAAAGAGAAGAGAGGCCAAAUGGAAAACAAAUCCAGCUGAUGGCCUCAGAGGAGGCAGGUUUGUCCCUCACUCACUGAUUCACGCACUUCUCAGAAUUCAUGAGAAAGAGAAAUCAACUAACAUUCUCGAGCCAGCUAGACGAUUGUACCAGCAUCGUGCCACUCAUCCUCAAGACAAAUGUGAAAUAGGUAUUAUGAGUUCCACCAUACAAGUGACGGCAACAAAGCUCAAUAUCCUGGAAAACAUCCAUGCACAAAUCCCUGUGAUGCUCCAGGGACCUUUGGAUAACAAGCACUUCUGGGAAGAAAUGAAAAGACCAACUGCCAGUGUUUGUUGAAGAGGGGUUCAGUUUUUCCUCACGUGAUGCAACAGAUGGCCUUGACAGACUGCUGGGUGGGAAGGAAGAAACCUCCACCUCCAUCUACUCAGCUGCUGUUGUCUCCUCCUACCAUGCCACGUCACACUUACAUAUUCAUGUCUUUUCUUCUAAACCCUCAGCCAUCUAGAAAUGGGCUGAUUUGAAUAAACUAUGAAAAUAGUAACCAAAUACAGACAAAACUCACUUUGUUAUACAUUGUUGCACUCUAUAGAUUUUGCAUUUUUAAAAAACAAAUUGAAAGUUUCUGUAAAUCUAGAUCUAUUGGUGUAAUUUUUCAACACAAUAUAUGACCUUUAGCACG